Molecule: ribosomal RNA, 379 nt
Filed under: uncultured eukaryote
Lineage: Eukaryota
Description: partial 18S ribosomal RNA
Rfam family: Eukaryotic small subunit ribosomal RNA
Source: RNAcentral
CAAUAGCGUAUAUUUAAGUUGUUGCAGUUAAAAAGCUCGUAGUUGGAUUUCGGAUGGGACUUGCCGGUCCGUCGUUUCGAUGUGUACUGGCCAGUCCUAUCUUGUUGUCGGGGACUAGCUCCUGGGCUUCACUGUCCGGGACUAGGAGCUGACGAGGUUACUUUGAGUAAAUUAGAGUGUUCAAAGCAAGCCUACGCUCUGAAUACAUUAGCAUGGAAUAACACGAUAGGACUCUGGCUUAUCUUGUUGGUCUGUGAGACCAGAGUAAUGAUUAAGAGGGACAGUCGGGGGCAUUCGUAUUUCAUUGUCAGAGGUGAAAUUCUUGGAUUUAUGAAAGACGAACUUCUGCGAAAGCAUUUGUCAAGGAUGUUUUCAUUAA